AUUUUUUAUUUAUUUUUUUACAGCAAAGGAGUCAGUUCAAGGGCAUAAAAAAAAGGAAACAAAUAUGAAAAAAAAGCCCGCUACUAACUCCUCCUAAAGUCGUAAUGUUAAAUGGUUGUCUUUUAUUUUUUAUUUUUUAUUUAUUUAUUUUUUUUUUUUACAACAAAGGAGGCAGCUCAAGGGCACACAGAAAAAGAAAACAAUAAUAAAAAAAAAGCCCGCUACUCACUGCUCCUAAAAAAGAAACAAAAGAGGCGUCUUCCUACCCAUUGGCACCCACCUAACACAACACCAAGGCUAUAGGAGAGUAAAAAGAAGGUUGAUAUAAUGAAUGAAGGAAGAGGAAUAAAUGAUAAAUACAAGAAUAAGGGAUGAACGGGAAUGGAAUAAAGAAAAAUAAAUGGAAGACAAGGAAAAUGGGUGAUAGAUUUCGCCCAAAUUUUACGCAGUCGAUUCGUGGGUGUCAGAUACUUUUUUUUACGACUGUGCAUGCGUUUGUGUUGGUGGUGAGCGGAAGUGAUGGAAGUUGGCGAUGGUGCUGGAACAUAAGUCAGGCGUAGUGUUAAGCGGUCAUGCCAUGGGAAAGGGGUGAGGAAGGGGGAUGUGAGGAAGACGAGAAAGAAUUAAGAAAAAGGAGAGGAAGGGAAAGAAAAAAAAGAAAGGAAGAGCUGGAACAUAGUCAGUCGUAAUGUUAAGUGGUCAUGCUGUGGAAAGGGAGAAAGGGAAGGGAUAAGGAAGGGGGAUGUGAGGAAGACGAGAGAGAAAGAAUUAAGAAAGAGGAGAGAGAGGAAGGGGAAGAAAAACAAGAAAGGAUGAGCUGGAACAUAGUCAGUCGUAAUGUUAAGUGGUCAUGCCGUGGAAAGGGAGAAAGGGAAGGGAUAAUAAGGAAGGGGGAUGUGAGGAAGACGAGAGAGAAAGAAUUAAGAAAGAGGAGAGAGAGGAAGGGGAAGAAAAAAAAGAAAGGAAGAGCUGGAACAUAGUCAGUCGUAAUGUUAAGUGGUCAUGCCAUGGAAAGGGAAGGGAUAAGGAAGGGGGAUGUGAGGAAGACGAGAGAGAAAGAAUUAAGAAAGAGAUGAGGAAGGGGAAGAAACUGAAAGAAAGAGCUGCAACACGUCAGUCGUAAUGUUAAGAGACAGGAGAGAUAGAUGACAGAAAAGAUGGAAGGAGAGAGAGACGGCAUGCAUUAAUUAUCCCUUUAGCCUAAGAAUCAGAGGUGGAAUGAGCGAGGAAAUGAAGGAAAGGUAGAUGAUAUAAAAAAGAUAAAAGAUCGAAAGACAGGAAAGGAGAGGCAGUAUGCAUUAAUUCUCCCUUCAGCCUGACAAUCAAAGGUGGAAAGGAAGAGGAAAUGAACAAAAGAGAUAUAACAAAAAAAGACAACAGGCGCGACAAUCUCCGGUUCUUUUACCAUGACAAUCAGAGGUGAGAAAAAUCAACCCCAUAACCUCAUUGCCACUUACAAAACCUCAUCCAUACAAUCUUUUUCCUUCUCGCCCGUUGACGCUUGGGAGAAAAAGUCUUCCGCUCGGUACACCAAGCCUCCCCAUUCCUUCGUUUAUAAAAGUUUGCCAGCGUCUCGAGUACAUUCGUCCGCGGGAGUAUGUUAUGAGGAUGUCCAUGCCGUUGUGUUAUUGUUUUGUGUGCCCUGUGCCAUACCUCAUCACAGACACUUGAUUGGUUUUCUAAAUGCUGUAUUAGUCUUACCCCAUCCGCUGCGAUUGGUACAGAUUCGGCUUUCACUGGUAGCUUGGUAACAUAUGCUCCCAGGAGGUCUUUCUCUGCUUCUGUGGUGGAUAGUGGAGUGUUUUCCGUGUGGUAUUGGUGUGCUGGAUAUCGUCUCCCAAGGUGCAGGACUUUACAUUUUUCCUCAUUGAAUUGUAGCAGCCACUUUUUGUUCCAUUCCUGUAGCUUGGUGAUGUCUUCUUGUGGGAAAUCCGUGGUCAAGGGGUUAACAGAAUGUGGCUGAUUUGUCUUUUUUUACCUGUUUUUUCAAGGCGUGGUUACUUGGCUUUAUUGAUUUUUUAUGUAUCACUUUCUACGACUGACUUUGUGAUGUGUCGAUGUCGUGAAAAGCCAACACUUCCUCUGUCCAAAGAAUGAUAUAAAAAAGCCAUACUAGCCACAUGACUGUUAACCCUUAGACGACGGCAGCAGUAUUUGAAGAGUAGCUUCCCCCAAUAUUAACCGUCUACAUAUAGUUACCGCCGACCUUUGGACCGUAGCAUAAAUAUAGUUACGCCGCAUAAGAGCUGUUUUAACUAUCGUCUAUAUAUAGAUUCUACCGUAAUCUGAAAGUGCUGUUAUAUUUCUGCCAUACAAAACUGACGGACUGAAUUUUGGACCGUUUAUAUAGAGUUCUACCACCGUCUGAGGGUUAAUAAGAACUGAUAUAGCAUUAAAGAAAUCUGCCUGGCGUUGGUACAGUCUGUUGGUGGUAAAGAGGUGGUGCCAGAAGCUAGUCACUGUUGGCAAUGAUCCUGAAGGUGUUGAGUGCGAACCUGAAGCUACGUCUCAUAAGUCAGGGGAGAGAAAGAAAACACACAUUGACCUCUUGAUGAAAUGGGAAUGAGUUUAUAUUCUCUUCACGUGGAGAGAGAGAGAGAUUUUUAGUGUAAGUUAGGUGGAGUGAUCAUUACUCAUCAUUCCGUGGGUGUUUACUCAUGUCAAAGGAAAAAGUGUUCUGGAAAGUUUAACGGAGGCAUAAAACUUAAAAACUGUCAACAUAAAACUUUAAAAACUGUCAACAUGAAACUUCAAAAACUGUCAACAUGAAACUUUAAAAACUGUCAACAUAAAACUUAAAAACUGUCAACAUGAAACUUUAAAAACUGUCAACAUGAAACUUUAAAAACUGUCAACAUGAAACUUUAAAAACUGUCAACAUGAAACUUUAAAAACUGUCAACAGAAAACUUAAAAACUGUCAACAUGAAAACUGAAAAAUUGCCAACAUCAAGAUUACCCAACUUUAUUUUGACUCUGAAUUUUGUACCUCUGCCUAUUUUUCCAGAGUACUUUUUUCCCUGCUUGUUGAGUGGUAAUUUGGGGAGUAGCAUUUUAUACACUGCUGCAUAGACAUAACACAUACACAACACACCACACCACAACACAACACAACACAACACAAUGAAACUCACCGCGCAGCACCGCACCACACCACACCACACCGCACUAUACUACACAACACAACACACUGCAGCAAAGAGUGUACACAAAUCAAAACAAAGACUAGACAAAGAUCGAGUUGGAGACGAACACACAAGGAUAACUCAGGCUGUGUACGCUACAUCUAGGCAAGUACACACACACACACACACACACACACACGUACACCUGCUUACACGCACAGUCUACACUUACGAGCACCUGUUCAUACUCAUUUCUACACCUGUGCACCUUGAUUGAGCCGUGCACAAUGAAGUUGAGGUCUGUGCGCCAAUCCGUACUCACGAUUCCAUUUUGUGCUCAUCAGGAAAACAAGUGUGCUGAGAAGGUUCAGUGAAGGUGUUGAUUUAAUUUUACUGAAAUCAAGCAUCAGAAUUGUGGGAACUAUUGUAAUUCUUCUUCUCUUUUCUGUUUAACGUCCUUAUCUUCCCUUAUGGAGUUGGACUGGGUUGGGAACUGUUAGUAGAAUUGUGGGAACUAUUGUAAUUCUUCUCCUCUUUUCUGUUUAACGUCCUUAUCUUCCCUUAUGGAGUUGGAAUGGGUUGGGAAUUGUUAGUAGAAUUGUGGGAACUAUCUUUUGAAAUUGUGGGAACUGAAUUGUCGGAACCUGGAAUGGUGGGAACUAGAUUGUUAACACUUCUAGAAUGGUGUAAACUUAAUUGUCAGUACUCAGAAUGGUGGGAAUUGUGGGAACUGUCAGAGCUUGGAAUGGUAGGGCCAAAUUUUUCCGAGCACCAUUUUUACUUUAUUUUAUUUAUUUAUUUCCCCUUCACAUCGAGUACUGAUCCGGAAUCGUGUGUGUGAACCGGCAAAUGCUUCCUCAGCCUCACACACUCAAGAGUUUAUUUUCGCGCCAGUUUGUAAUCUCCGCGUCCGUGCACAACAGUAUUUCCCGAGCAUGUCUCCUGCAAUGUUAUUUUUAAUCCAUUCCUCUCUAUAUAUCACGUAUCGUUAAGCACGUCAUUGUUAAGUAUACGUAUAUGACUGUAAAUAAUUAGGUUUUAAGUGGUUUGUAAAGGGUUGGAUUCUGCAGCUCAAGCCUGGAACGUCAUCAACUGGAGAAGAGACAAAUGGAAACUGAGGGAAACUGUCGCUCUUUUUUUUCUUUUCUUUUUUUCCAACAAGGAGUUAUGAGGUUGG
Molecule: long non-coding RNA, 4301 nt
Organism: Eriocheir sinensis (Chinese mitten crab)
Lineage: Eukaryota; Metazoa; Arthropoda; Malacostraca; Decapoda; Varunidae
Exons: 2
Source: RefSeq, a predicted model, not a curated record